This 1309-nucleotide long non-coding RNA is filed under the name Felis catus (domestic cat). RNAcentral's name for it is "lncRNA (ENSFCAG00000043345.2)". The record is from RNAcentral. Lineage: Eukaryota; Metazoa; Chordata; Mammalia; Carnivora; Felidae.
UUUAGCACUCUCUGGACGCCAGCCCGACCUCCUUCUGAUACACUUUCUCCUUUUGGUUUUUGCGGGCGGCACCGUGUAGUCCAUAAGAACCUGGGCUUUAGAUCCAUACAGAUUGGGGCUCACGUAAUGGACUCUGGUAUUUCAUGAUGUGACCGGAUCACGAAUUAGUUGUGAUACAGAUUCAGCUGUUGUAGCAAAGGACACAGUAAGGUGGCUUCAACAGGAUAGAAGCUUGUGUCCCUUCUGCAUAACAGAGUACGUGCUUCAGGGUUGAUGAGACAACUUUAUGGCAUCUCCUUUCUUGUUGUUCUACCAGCUUCUAUUUUCUGGUCCAAGACGUUGCUCCAGCUCCCACUGCCAAAUGUGCGUCCCAGACAGUAGGGAGGGUUGAGUGGUUGUGAAUCGCAGAGUCAGGAGAUGGAUGCUAGAACAUCUAAGAAGAAAGGGGCUCCCGGCAUCCUUUGAGGGUGUUGUGGCCUUCAGCAAUCAGUGAGGGACACUGACGUUUGGUAUGUGAUAAAGCUAGAAGUCUUCUACUUCUGAGUUGCUCUGAUUUUUAGAACAAACUAAUUUUGUUGCAUCUGAGACCUUGAUGUGAAAUCUAUGCCUCUUUCCUGACGGUUUUCAUUAUUCUGGUUGAUUACAGUUGCCAUCCAUUCUCACUGCGUAAGUUUCGUCUUUAAUAAUUAAAGGUUUAUUGUCAUUGCAUGGCCUAGAACCACAAGCCAGACUGCAACACUGGUCCAGGGUGCCAACUAUUGCCUGGAUCUGUGGCCUAAGGAAACACGGGCGCAGCAGUGAGACCACACAGAAUGAAAGCAUCCUCCACAGACGUGCCCACAUGGGGAGGGGCAGCGGAGGGUCAAGGAAGGUCUCCCUAACCCCUGAAAGGAUACCUCAAAAUGCAUCAAGCAAUACUGGAAUAGAAAGUGACUGGGAAACUGCCUGCAGAACCAAAGACAUCAAAAUGUAGCUAUCAUAACUCAAGUUAGCUCUUACACUGACCCUUGUUACUGGCAGCAAUGGAGGCCUGUUCUUUAUAUGUAUCAACUCGUUGGAUUCUCACAACUUCCUCCUGAGGUAUUUGUCCCAUUUUAUGCACAGUAACCAUUCCAUGAAUAUUUGCAUAAAUCUGGUGAUUCUUUUUUUCUUUUGCCAUCAAUCACCUUCCCAACAUCAUGGUGAGGCCCUUCUCCCCUUCUAUCUCUCUGUCUUUCAUCACCUCCUCACCAUCUUCAUGGCCUAGGUCUGGCCUGCAUUACUGAGGUGGCCUCUGAAAUGGUAUGUCAUUCUCUACCCUGCAGUUGGC